Molecule: non-coding RNA, 1108 nt
Organism: Taeniopygia guttata (zebra finch)
Lineage: Eukaryota; Metazoa; Chordata; Aves; Passeriformes; Estrildidae
Source: RefSeq, a predicted model, not a curated record
CAAAACUGCAGGAGGAAGAACAUCUGCUUUUGGAGAUAUGGAGAGAAAGGAGGCUGACUAAUAUGAAGGAAUUUGGGGGACUUCUAUGCAACACUCAUCACCUCAGGAAAACCUUCUUCCGUAGUGAAGUUCUCCUAACUGCAACUGAAUUGUUCUUCCCGUAGAACUGCUUUGGGGGAAAGCUAAGGAAAUUUCCUUAAAAUACUUUUCCAAAGUGAUGGUGGGGGCGGAAUUUCAAAGAUGCUGUCCUGAGACUCAAAGGAGCUGCCUUGGACUUCUGUGGGAACAGACGCAGAGGAAAAGAGUACUUUUGAAUGGUUUGGUAUCCCGGGAGCAUGCUAAAGUAUCAAAACAAGCUCUGAGGAAAUUGCUGUGUCCUGAAACGCAGUCAUUAUUUCAAAGCAAGAAACAUGAAAGAGUCACAAGGAGAUGGCUGAGUGCUAAGUCAUGAAGGUAACAUGCACAUGUCAUCUUGGGGGAAAACAGAUUCUGUCAGAAAAGAUCUUUGCCUUUCUUUCUGACUUGUCAUACAGAUGUGAGGUAUAAACAAAGCGUAAUCAAAAGGGACUUAAAUCAGGAAUAAACUGAUAUAUGACUCUUCAUGAAAUAUUCCUAUCUUCACAGCUAUUGUGCUCUUUAUCUAAUUUCCCUGGCUAUCUGAUCAGAGCUGUUUAUUUCACUGUUGAAUUAUUGCUGAAGUCUGAGAGGGCGCUGCUUUAAACAAUGGAGCUGGUCAACAGUGUUAGCAAUUCAUUUCCAUAGUAUCUAGUUCUGUUUGGGGCUGCAAAGGCUGGGUUUGCCCUUGGAGCUUUCUCUCAUUCCAGAAAACUUUUGUGGAUAUGACCAGAAGGGCUCCAGAGUUUAAUGAAGGCAAGACAUAUACAUUAGGGUUUUUUUUGUGAAAGUGCACUUGAUAUUGCUUUAGAAUAUGCAUUUGAUGCUGGUGGCUGUUAAAUUUGAAUUAUAAGGCUACUUUAGUCCUGAUAUAGUUGAAAGUGUCCCUGCCCAUGGCAAAGAAAUUUGACAGGUUUUCUCCAAUGGUCCCUUCUAACCCAAACUGUGAAUUCACUGUUCUGUGAUUGUGUGAAUAAAAAGGAGAAACUUCCAA